UCAAAACAGUAUACAGGAAAAGUACAAUGCA
Molecule: non-coding RNA, 31 nt
Filed under: Mus musculus (house mouse)
Lineage: Eukaryota; Metazoa; Chordata; Mammalia; Rodentia; Muridae
Source: RNAcentral